This is a long non-coding RNA of Artibeus jamaicensis (Jamaican fruit-eating bat), 397 nucleotides long. RefSeq lists it as uncharacterized. The transcript is spliced from 5 exons. Lineage: Eukaryota; Metazoa; Chordata; Mammalia; Chiroptera; Phyllostomidae. The record is from RefSeq and is a predicted model, not a curated record.
GAAAAAGGAAAUUCCCAACAUCCCCCAAGCCAAGUAAUGGGAACAUGAAGAAAAUAACCCAUAAAGAUUUGGAAUACCUACAAGGCAGAGUGCAGUAAAUGUCUAGACAAAUUCUUCAGGGCAGCCAUUGAUUGUCUGAUGACCCGGAGAACAAGAACCUGAUGUUGAGCUUCCUAGGACAUCUGAUACACUGAUAUGCUUCAUGUAUCUCCAGAAGGAGAAAGAAUAGGUUUGAAUAUGAUGCCACCAAAAUCUGGGCUGUCUGAAUGCCAUCCACCUAGAGGUCAUCCUUGUAUAGGGUGUGAUACAGAGUCACACUGACUUUCUACAUUGUUAACAUCGUCAGCAUUGUGCUCCCUGGUUGUGGAAGGAGGUACAGGGCAGACGGAAUGGAUGU